CAGGUAGCUCAGUCGGUAGAGCAGAGGAUUGAAAAUCCUCGUGUCGGUGGUUCGAUUCCGCCCCUGG
Molecule: transfer RNA, 67 nt
Filed under: uncultured Pseudohongiella sp.
Lineage: Bacteria; Pseudomonadati; Pseudomonadota; Gammaproteobacteria; Pseudomonadales; Pseudohongiellaceae
Also listed under: 1 other name
Rfam family: tRNA
About the family: Transfer RNA (tRNA) molecules are approximately 80 nucleotides in length. Their secondary structure includes four short double-helical elements and three loops (D, anti-codon, and T loops).
Source: RNAcentral